AGGACGAACGCUGGCGGCGCGCCUAACACAUGCAAGUCGAGCGAUAACCAGGGCUUGCCCUGGGGACAGCGGCGAACGGGUGCGUAACACGUGAGCAACCUGCCCCAAAGACCGGGACAACCCGAGGAAACUCGGACUAAUACCGGAUGCCCUCACCGGGCCGCAUGGUCUGGUGAGGAAAUGGAUUCCGCUUUGGGAUGGGCUCGCGGUCUAUCAGCUUGUUGGUGGGGUAACGGCCUACCAAGGCGACGACGGAUAGCUGGUCUGAGAGGACGAUCAGCCACACUGGGACUGAGACACGGCCCAGACUCCUACGGGAGGCAGCAGUGGGGAAUAUUGCGCAAUGGGCGGAAGCCUGACGCAGCGACGCCGCGUGAGGGAUGACGGUCUUCGGAUUGUAAACCUCUUUCAGUAGGGACGAAUGUAGACGGUACCUGCAGAAGAAGCACCGGCCAACUACGCGCCAGCAGCCGC
RNAcentral lists this ribosomal RNA (474 nucleotides) under uncultured bacterium. RNAcentral describes it as "SSU rRNA". It matches the Rfam family "Bacterial small subunit ribosomal RNA", at positions 26 to 518 of the family's 1533-position model. The record is from RNAcentral.